CAGGCCUUGACAUCCAAUGAACUUUCCAGAGAUGGAUUGGUGCCUUCGGGAACAUUGAGACAGGUGCUGCAUGGCUGUCGUCAGCUCGUGUCGUGAGAUGUUGGGUUAAGUCCCGUAACGAGCGCAACCCUUGUCCUUAGUUACCAGCACGUUAUGGUGGGGACUCNUGAGAGACUGCCGGGGUCAACUCGGAGGAAGGUGGGGAUGACGUCAAGUCAUCAUGCCCCUUAUGUCCAGGGCUUCACACAUGCUACAAUGGCCGGUACAAAGGGCUGCNAUGCCGUGAGGUGGAGCNAAUCCUUUCAAAGCCGGUCUCAGUUCGGAUCGGGGUCUGCAACUCGNCCCCGUGAAGUCGGAGUCGNUAGUAAUCGCANAUCANCANCGCUGCGGUGAAUACGUU
Molecule: ribosomal RNA, 400 nt
Filed under: uncultured Mycobacterium sp.
Lineage: Bacteria; Bacillati; Actinomycetota; Actinomycetes; Mycobacteriales; Mycobacteriaceae
Description: bacterial SSU rRNA
Rfam family: Bacterial small subunit ribosomal RNA
Source: RNAcentral